RNAcentral lists this ribosomal RNA (258 nucleotides) under uncultured prokaryote. Its description in RNAcentral is "partial 16S ribosomal RNA". It matches the Rfam family "Bacterial small subunit ribosomal RNA", at positions 521 to 777 of the family's 1533-position model. The record is from RNAcentral.
UAAUACGUAGGGUGCGAGCGUUGUCCGGAAUUAUUGGGCGUAAAGAGCUCGUAGGCGGUGUGUCGCGUCGGUCGUGAAAACUUGGGGCUUAACCCUGAGCGUGCGGUCGAUACGGGCAUCACUUGAGUUCGGCAGGGGAGACUGGAAUUCCUGGUGUAGCGGUGAAAUGCGCAGAUAUCAGGAGGAACACCGGUGGCGAAGGCGGGUCUCUGGGCCGAUACUGACGCUGAGGAGCGAAAGCGUGGGGAGCGAACAGGA